GAGUAGUUAAUAAUAUUUUGCAUUCAAUGUUCAGAAAUCGUAUUUGCAAACGAUUUUAAACUAUGGUAGUGAUGCCAGUGAAAGUCACUUAGCUACUCAAGGGUAUUAUCCUAAUUAUGGAAAAUUAAUAUCUGGUCAAUAUGUUAACACCGAUGGGAACAUUCUGCUCAAAAAUAUAUUUCAAAACAGUAAUAAGGUUGAACUGUUCGGAAAAGUUCAUGGAGAUAUAUUUAAUCAGCCAAAAUUACUCAUAAAUAAUGUUGAUUUGAGGAUAACUUUUAACAUUGAAAAAACAGCAUUUUAUUUGAUGGAAACUGAUACUGAGUCAAGUCUUAAGAUAUUGGAAGCGCAACUUUUCAUGAAUCACAUAACUAUUAAUCCAAGCAUUUUAUUGGCCCAUCAUCAUGUUUUACAAACUAAAAAUGCCAUUUAUCCAUACAGCAAAGUUCAAGUAAAAUCAUUUACAAUAUAUCCAGGAAAUAAUACGCUAUCAAUUGACAACGCAGUUAUUGGACAGCUUCCUAAUUUCUUAGCUUUUUGCAUGGUAAAAAACAAAUCAUAUUCAGGAAAUCGGACAUUAAAUCCAUUCAACUUUGAUCAUUUUAAAAUUCAACGCUUUAAUCUAAUGGUAAAUGGUGUGCAAGUACCAUCGCAGGCACUUGAAUUUGAUUUCUCGAAUUCCGAAAAUGCUCAAAGCUCUAGAGGAUAUAAUAUGUUAUUCAGAUCAAGUGGCAUAAGACAUUAUGAUCGAGGCUUGCAAAUCACAAAGGAAAUGUUUGAUAAAAACAGUUUUAUAUUAGCAUUUGACUUAACUGCAGAUCAUCAUAAUUCAACUGUAUGCUCAAAUUUGAUUUCUCAAGGAUCCAUCCGAAUUGAAGGACGUUUUUCUGAGCCUCUUACAGAAGCAGUUACUUGUCUGGUGUACUGUGAAUAUGACUCAAUGAUUGAUAUUGAUAAACAUCGAAAUAUACGUGUUCUUCUGUAAAAAUGAAUACAUUGCAAAUCGAUAAUUUGCUCUCCAAGCAUUCAAAAACAAAAACAAUUUUUAAAGGCGUUUAUCCCUCUGAUAGGCUCCCAAAAGUAAUUUCUAAAUAUCCUGCUUUAAUAAUAGCUAACACAGAUUCUUCAAACCGUCCAGGAACGCAUUGGGUUGCAUUUUACUUUGAUAG
This is an RNA transcript of Drosophila subobscura, 1169 nucleotides long. RefSeq lists it as uncharacterized. The transcript is spliced from 2 exons. The record is from RefSeq and is a predicted model, not a curated record. NCBI's taxonomy places the organism in Eukaryota, Metazoa, Arthropoda, Insecta, Diptera, Drosophilidae.